Long non-coding RNA from Dalotia coriaria, 343 nucleotides. RefSeq lists it as uncharacterized. NCBI's taxonomy places the organism in Eukaryota, Metazoa, Arthropoda, Insecta, Coleoptera, Staphylinidae. The transcript has 5 exons. The record is from RefSeq and is a predicted model, not a curated record.
UUUUUGAUGGUUUCGGGGAUGUUGCACUUGAGUCUGACAUCGUAGAAGGACCAUUCUUGCAUCAGAUUGGAUUUUGCACCUGAGUCUGACAUCGUAGAAGGACCAUUCUUGCAUCAGAUUGGAUUUUGCACCUGAGUCUGACAUCGUAGAAGGACCAUUCUUGCAACAGAUUGGAUUUUGCACCUGAGUCUGACAUCGUAGAAGGACCAUUCUUGCAUCAGAUUGGAUUUUGCACCUGAGUCUGACAUCGUAGAAGGACCAUUCUUGCAUAAGAUUGUAAGUAAUUAAUUUCUCUAUCAUAUUCCUAAAUAACUUUUGUGAUUAUGUCCCAAUUUGACUCCCA